Molecule: long non-coding RNA, 878 nt
Filed under: Callithrix jacchus (white-tufted-ear marmoset)
Lineage: Eukaryota; Metazoa; Chordata; Mammalia; Primates; Cebidae
Description: lncRNA (ENSCJAG00000073222.1)
Source: RNAcentral
UAUAUAUAUUCAUAUAUAUACUGUAUUCAUCUACCAUUUAAAGAUCAUGUCAUAGUUUCUGAAUAUGUGGAGCUAGGAUUCUAAAUGAAAGAAUAAAGGGAACCAUGGACUUGGAUGGUUUUAAAGUAUGCUUCUUUGCAAUUUUGAGAGGAAAGUUAGAAAAGAACUGCAAAAAUGAUGUAUGAAUGUAAUCACUCUGUUUCGUAGCCUUUGUUUUCUGUUCCUUUUUUCUUGACCUCGAGCCAGUUUUUAUUCUGUUAUAUACAACUCUUUCUAGUAGAACGGAUUUACGUUCCUUGCAGCCUGGACUUGGCCCCUGAAGAGAUAUUAGAGGAACAGUUUAAUGGUUAACGAGUUAUGUUGGAAGGUGAGGUUGCUGAGGCAGAACAGGACACAGUUGUUCAGACUAGUUGCUUGGGGAGCAAAGUUGUCUGGAUGGUGUAAGUUUAACUUAAUGGCUUUGGCAGUGGCUGAAGGCAGAGGUUAAAGCAUGUCUUAGAGUGGGACAGAGUGAAAGGGCUGCUGCUCUGGAGUUCAAUUGUAGUUCAGUUGCUCACAGUUUCCAUUUUAUCUUCAACUAACUUAGGAUCCUCUUGUAGUUUUGGGGCUCAUAGAACUCUAAAAAAGAUGCACUCCAAACCCCAUAACAAAAGAUUUUAAAACAGUCAGGCCCUAAAGGAAAUAUGUGUGAAGAUAAUGGAAACCAGGAUGCUUCAGGCAGGUCCUUCAGGAAUGUUCCAGAAGAAAGCAUUGUUACCACAGGAGAUGACAGCUCCAUGUAUGUUAUUGCCCCUGAAGACUUUCCAGUGGGACAAAAUGUGGAGGAAGAAGACACUGAUAUGACAACUGCUUCACAACAUUAUUGUGAAGAAAGAUGA